Molecule: long non-coding RNA, 979 nt
Filed under: Anser brachyrhynchus (Pink-footed goose)
Lineage: Eukaryota; Metazoa; Chordata; Aves; Anseriformes; Anatidae
Description: lncRNA (ENSABRG00000002118.1)
Source: RNAcentral
CUACCCUAAAGUAUGUUUUGUGGUUUGCACUCCUGUAGUGUAUGAGGGAAUCAGAGAGAAAAUUGUAUUUCCUGGAGGCAAAAACACUCAGAUUCACUCAGAGAGUUUUGUUUUUGGGAAGUCCACCUCAAAUGUGGAACAGUUUCCAGUAGGAACUGUAGUACUCUACAGAUAGAAAUAAAAAGAGCAGAAACCAACAGGGAUAUGGAUAAAUAACAACCAAUCCCAAAACACAGUGUGUAUCUAGCCUUGUGUUGGGGGGCUGUGACAAGUGGUGUGACCUGAGGACUAGCUUCCCUAUGAUGAGAGUGGUUGCAUUUAACUACAGGCCAUGCACCUCCUCACCUGAAAUUGGUUAGUUGGCAGAGAGGAAAGGAAUGAAAAGGCCCCAUCUUUUUCCCUACUUACUCUCAUGGUGGUUUUCACUUGUUUGUUCAUUUGUUUUUUAUGAUACAGAAAUAUUCCUUCAAGCAGCAUAUAUACUGCAUUUUUCUGUGUUUGUUUUUUUGUUGUUGUUGUUUGUUUGUUUGUUUGUUUUCCUUUUUUUCUUUUUUCUUUUUCUGUGUGCUGCUCAAGAAAGCAACAGGACAAGUUGCCUGGACAGUCCACAGCAAUGUCAGAGCACUUGUAUCCUGCAAGUUUCCCUGCCCAAGAAACCUGUUGUAAAUUCUUGAGAUGAUAAACGAAGAAGAGAUCACAUCUGGGUUUUACCUUUCACAAGUUUCUACAUCAACUCCAUGUCUAGAAUAGCAACAACCCUGUGAACUGCAAGCCUACAGCAAAUGCUGCCAACAAGGAAAGCUACGUAUGUGAAGGCUGAGAAGAUAUAUGUACUAGACCAAGUGGAAGCCUAUUUAUAUAUUUGGGCUACAUUUCCAAUACUGAAAUACCACUGCAUUUUACCAGAGAGCUGUUAGAGUGCUAAAGCUUUUUAUACCAGUAUAAUAAAAUCGCCAUUUUCAAGGAAAAAAAAGUAUAU